RNAcentral lists this ribosomal RNA (497 nucleotides) under uncultured bacterium. RNAcentral's name for it is "partial 16S ribosomal RNA". It matches the Rfam family "Bacterial small subunit ribosomal RNA", at positions 28 to 507 of the family's 1533-position model. The record is from RNAcentral.
GAUGAACGCUGGCGGCGUGCCUAAUACAUGCCAGUCGAGCGAACGGACGAGAAGCUUGCUUCUCUGAUGUUAGCGGCGGACGGGUGAGUAACACGUGGAUAACCUACCUAUAAGACUGGGAUAACUUCGGGAAACCGGAGCUAAUACCGGAUAAUAUUUUGAACCGCAUGGUUCAAAAGUGAAAGACGGUCUUGCUGUCACUUAUAGAUGGAUCCGCGCUGCAUUAGCUAGUUGGUAAGGUAACGGCUUACCAAGGCAACGAUGCAUAGCCGACCUGAGAGGGUGAUCGGCCACACUGGAACUGAGACACGGUCCAGACUCCUACGGGAGGCAGCAGUAGGGAAUCUUCCGCAAUGGGCGAAAGCCUGACGGAGCAACGCCGCGUGAGUGAUGAAGGUCUUCGGAUCGUAAAACUCUUUUAUUAGGGAAGAACAUAUGUGUAAGUAACUGUGCACAUCUUGACGGUACCUAAUCAGAAAGCCACGGCUAACUACGUG